AUUCUUUCAGUUUGGAACAUGCUGGAGUGUGGAGGUUGAAACCAGGUUUGAUGAAGUAUGCCUGUAAACCCACCCUGGAUCCAGCCACAGCACACAGAAACCUCUUUCUGUCUGAGAACAACAGGAAGGUGACAAAUGUGAGAGAGGGCAC
Long non-coding RNA from Myripristis murdjan (pinecone soldierfish), 151 nucleotides. RefSeq lists it as uncharacterized. NCBI's taxonomy places the organism in Eukaryota, Metazoa, Chordata, Actinopteri, Holocentriformes, Holocentridae. The transcript is spliced from 4 exons. The record is from RefSeq and is a predicted model, not a curated record.